UACAGAGGUCCCAAGCGUUGUUCGGAUUCAUUGGGCGUAAAGGGUGCGUAGGCGGCGCGGUAAGUCGGGUGUGAAAUCUCGGAGCUUAACUCCGAAACUGCAUUCGAUACUGCCGUGCUUGAGGACUGGAGAGGAGACUGGAAUUUACGGUGUAGCGGUGAAAUGCGUAGAUAUCGGGAGGAACACCUGUGGCGAAAGCGGCGCACUGGACCAUAACUGACGCUGAGGCGCGAAAGCUAGGGGAGCAAACAGG
Molecule: ribosomal RNA, 253 nt
Filed under: uncultured bacterium
Lineage: Bacteria
Description: partial 16S ribosomal RNA
Rfam family: Bacterial small subunit ribosomal RNA
Source: RNAcentral